UACGUAGGGUGCAAGCGUUAAUCGGAAUUACUGGGCGUAAAGCGUGCGCAGGCGGUUUUGUAAGCCAGAUGUGAAAGCCCCGGGCUCAACCUGGGAAUGGCAUUUGGGACUGCAAGGCUUGAGUGCGGCAGAGGAGACUGGAAUUCCUGGUGUAGCAGUGAAAUGCGUAGAUAUCAGGAGGAAUACCGAUGGCGAAGGCAGGUCUCUGGGCUGACACUGACGCUCAUGCACGAAAGCGUGGGGAGCAAACAGG
Molecule: ribosomal RNA, 253 nt
Filed under: uncultured bacterium
Lineage: Bacteria
Description: partial 16S ribosomal RNA
Rfam family: Bacterial small subunit ribosomal RNA
Source: RNAcentral